CCUUCCCCUAGAGGUAGUGCAGGUGUGGCAGCCGAGUCACACGUGCAUCGGUAGGUGGCAGAGAGGGGAGAGACCUAUCUAAGCUCAGUGUUCCAAACUUUGAAUAUCUGAACAAUUAGUAACCUAACAGU
Apodemus sylvaticus (European woodmouse) is the source of this 131-nucleotide small nucleolar RNA. RefSeq annotates it as small nucleolar RNA SNORA17. NCBI's taxonomy places the organism in Eukaryota, Metazoa, Chordata, Mammalia, Rodentia, Muridae. The record is from RefSeq and is a predicted model, not a curated record. The transcript has a single exon.